This 230-nucleotide long non-coding RNA is filed under the name Gallus gallus (chicken). Lineage: Eukaryota; Metazoa; Chordata; Aves; Galliformes; Phasianidae. The record is from RNAcentral.
GUUGUAGUAACCAAGAGGUAACUUUACUAACCAAAUUAUCCAAGGCUGCAUUUUCCUCUGGAGUAGAGGAAUCACUUCCACCUCACACUCUAGUAUCAUCACAUAAUCACCUUAUGAUCCAGUGAAAUAGCAGUCAUUAUCUUCCACAGCAAGUCCAACUUUCAGCACAGCAUGGAUGUUUUAGAUAUAAGUACCUUCAAAGAACUUGUUUUUUUCCCUUUGCUGUCCAC